AUACACCGAGUAAAUCAGUGGGCCUUAGCUUCAUAGAUUCACUUCAAGUCGUACCUCGCUAUUUGUUACCUAAGUUAGUGUCAAUUUUAUCUCAGUAAGACCGCCGUUUUUGGCAACAACUUUAUUUUUUUAAGCAAUUAGCUUUGGAGUUUUAUUAUGUCUAAGAUCACUGGUACCGUUAAGUGGUUCAACGAAUCUAAAGGUUUUGGUUUCAUCGAGCAAGAGCAAGGCGAAGAUGUGUUUGUACACUUCCGUGCUAUUCAAGGUGACGGUUUCAAAACUUUAGCAGAAGGCCAACGUGUUGAGUUCGAUAUCGAGCAAGGCCCUAAAGGCGCUCAAGCUGCUAACGUAACUAAAGUAUAAUUUUAUAAAAUUGUAUAUUUAGAUCUAAAAAACCGCGUCAAAUGGCGCGGUUUUUUUA
RNAcentral lists this small RNA (421 nucleotides) under Kangiella koreensis DSM 16069. RNAcentral describes it as "cspA thermoregulator". It matches the Rfam family "cspA thermoregulator". Lineage: Bacteria; Pseudomonadati; Pseudomonadota; Gammaproteobacteria; Kangiellales; Kangiellaceae. The record is from Rfam by way of RNAcentral.